AUAAAGUUUUAUUCUGGCUUUGAGUAUUAGUGUAUGUAGAAUAUAUAUGUAGAUUAUUAAAAAAAUUAAUUUUAAUAGUUAAUUUGUUUUUUUACAGUAUAUAAUUUUAAUUUUUAAAGAAAUUUAGAUUUAGUUAUAUGUAAUAAUUUUAACUUAUCUUGUGCCAGCAGUUGCGGUUAAACAGGGAAGGUAAUUAAUUCUAUUUAAUUUGUAGUAAGAGGAAUUGGAGUAAUUUAAUAUUGAUUAUUUUAGGUGAAAUUUUAUAGUUAAUAAAAAUUAAUUUUUUAUUUUUGUUCUAUUAAAUUUAUUAUUAAACUAGGAUUAGAUACCCUAUUAUUUUAAAUGUAAAUUUAUAAGUUAAUUAGUAAUUGUUAUGUUCAUGAAAAUUAAAGAAUUUGGCGGUAUUUUAGUCUAUUCAGAGGAACUUGUCUUAUAAUUGAUAUACCACGAUUUAUAUUACUUAUUUUAUUAAUUUAUAUAUCGCUGUAGUUGAAUAUUUUUAAAGAAUUUUAAUGUUCAUGAUUUUUUUAAGAAAAGAAAUCAAGUCAAGGUGUAGUUUAUAAAUAAGGAGGGGUGAGUUACAAUAAAUUUAUUUAUGAAUUGUUAAAUUAAAGUUUUUCAUGAAAUUGGAUUUGAUAGUAAUAUGAUAUAAAUAUAUUAUAUGAUUAUAGCUCUAAAAUAUGUACAUAUCGCCCGUCGCUCUCAAUAUUAUUUGAGAUAAGUCGUAACAAAGUAGAUGUACUGGAAAGUGUAUCUGGUUUUCA
Molecule: non-coding RNA, 764 nt
Filed under: Phacomorphus fratyi
Lineage: Eukaryota; Metazoa; Arthropoda; Insecta; Coleoptera; Leiodidae
Source: RNAcentral